Molecule: ribosomal RNA, 662 nt
Filed under: uncultured bacterium
Lineage: Bacteria
Description: bacterial SSU rRNA
Rfam family: Bacterial small subunit ribosomal RNA
Source: RNAcentral
GGCUUAGAGUUUGAUCAUGGCUCAGGAUGAACGCUGGCGGCGUGCCUAACACAUGCAAGUCGAGCGAAGCACUUUACUCUGAAUCUUUCGGGAGGACGAGUGAUUUGACUGAGCGGCGGACGGGUGAGUAACGCGUGGGUAACCUGCCUCACACGGGGGGAUAACAGUUAGAAAUGACUGCUAAUACCGCAUAAGGCCACAGCACCGCAUGGUGCAGGGGUAAAAACUCCGGUGGUGUGAGAUGGGCCCGCGUCUGAUUAGUUAGUUGGCGGGGUAACGGCCCACCAAGGCGACGAUCAGUAGCCGACCUGAGAGGGUGACCGGCCACAUUGGGACUGAGACACGGCCCAAACUCCUACGGGAGGCAGCAGUGGGGAAUAUUGCACAAUGGGGGAAACCCUGAUGCAGCGACGCCGCGUGAGCGAAGAAGUAUUUCGGUAUGUAAAGCUCUAUCAGCAGGGAAGAAAUUGACGGUACCUGACUAAGAAGCACCGGCUAAAUACGUGCCAGCAGCCGCGGUAAUACGUAUGGUGCAAGCGUUAUCCGGAUUUACUGGGUGUAAAGGGAGCGUAGACGGAGCAGCAAGUCUGGAGUGAAAACCCGGGGCUCAACCCCGGGACUGCUUUGGAAACUGUUGUUCUAGAGUGCUGGAGAGGUAAGUG